GGUAUCGCCGUUAGUCAUGUGCAAAUAUGGAUAGCUGUUUUAGCCGUCUUUAUUGGCUGGUUUAUAAGAGUUAUCAGAUAUCACUUUGAUUAAAUUAGAGUGCUUAAAGCAAGUGUGUUACUUGGAUAUAAAUGCAUGGAAUGAUGGAAUAUGUUGUUAUUCUAUUUGUUGGUUUUUGAAUGAUAAAAUGAUUGAAAGGAACUGUUGGGGGCAUUCGUAUUGUUGUGAGAGAGGUGAAAUUCUUAGACCACAGCAAGACGAACUACUGCGAAAGCAUUUGCCAAGAAUGUUUUCAUUGAUCAAGAACGAAAGUUAGAGGUUCGAAGGCGAUCAGAUACCGCCCUAGUUCUAACCAUAAACUAUGCCAACUAGCAAUUUGCUUUGUAUUUUUUAUGACUAAGUGAGAGGCCACGGGAAACCUAAGUAGGGUUAUGGGGGAAGUAUGGUUGCAAAGCUGAAACUUAAAGGAAUUGACGGAAGGGCACCACCAGGAGUGGAGCCUGCGGCUUAAUUUGACUCAACACGGGAAAACUUACCUGGUCCUGACACUAGAAGGAUUGACAGAUUGAUAGCUCUUUCUUGAUUUGGUGGAUGGUGGUGCAUGGCCGUUCUUAGUUGGUGGAGUGAUUUGUCUGGUUAAUUCCGAUAACGAACGAGACUCUAGCCUAUUAAAUAAUACACGGAAUUUUAUCUUCCGCGGUAUUUCUUAGUGGGAUCAAGCG
This 722-nucleotide ribosomal RNA is filed under the name uncultured eukaryote. RNAcentral describes it as "SSU rRNA". It matches the Rfam family "Eukaryotic small subunit ribosomal RNA", at positions 672 to 1426 of the family's 1831-position model. The record is from RNAcentral.